AGAGCGAACGUUAGCGGCGCGCCUAACACAUGCAAGUCGAGCGAGAAAGGGAGCAAUCCUGAGUAAAGCGGCGGACGGGUGCGUAACACGUAGAUAACCUGCCCUUUGGAGGGGGAUAACGUUCCGAAAGGAGCGCUAAUACCGCGUAAAGCGUUUGGUGGUUCGCCACCAGACGGCAAAGGUUGGGACCCGCAAGGGCCAACCGCCAGAGGAGGGUCUGCGGCCCAUCAGCUAGUUGGUAAGGUAAUGGCUUACCAAGGCAAAGACGGUAGCUGGUCUGAGAGGAUGAUCAGCCACACUGGUACUGGAACACGGACCAGACUCCGUACGGGA
RNAcentral lists this ribosomal RNA (333 nucleotides) under uncultured soil bacterium. RNAcentral describes it as "bacterial SSU rRNA". It matches the Rfam family "Bacterial small subunit ribosomal RNA", at positions 26 to 346 of the family's 1533-position model. The record is from RNAcentral.